This 592-nucleotide ribosomal RNA is filed under the name Circinaria hispida. Its description in RNAcentral is "Agrestia hispida partial large subunit ribosomal RNA". It matches the Rfam family "Bacterial small subunit ribosomal RNA", at positions 398 to 1113 of the family's 1533-position model. Lineage: Eukaryota; Fungi; Ascomycota; Lecanoromycetes; Pertusariales; Megasporaceae. The record is from RNAcentral.
AAAGUUAAUGCAUCAUCGACUAUGUCGAAUAAAGUUCUAGGUAGAGUUAUGAUAAUGACAUUUUCUAUCUAUGUGUCUUGACCAAGUCACGUGCCAGCAGUCGCGGUAAUACGUGGAAGACUAGUGUUAUUCAUCUUUAAUAGGUUUAAAGGGUACUUAGACGGUAAAUUAAGCCCACAAAGGGUACUAAUUAUACUAGAGUUGUAUGAGGAGGGUGUAGAGAUGAAAUUCAGUCAUACCAUUAUCAGGCAACGGCGAAAGCAACCUUUAGAAAAACUGACGUUAAAGGACGAAGGCUUUGUGUCACCAACAGGAUUAGAUACCCAAGCAGUCUUAGCAGACAAUUAUGAAUGCCAUAGGUUUUUGUCUAUAAAUGAAAGUGUAAGCAUUCCACCUCAAGAGUAAUGUGGCAACGCAGAAACUGAAAUCAUUAGACCGUUUCUGAAACCAGUAGUGAAGUAUGUUGUUUAAUUAGAUGGUCCGCAAAAAACCUUACCACAAUUUGUAUAUUUACAAGAGUUGCACGGCUGUUUUUAGUUAAUGUCGUGAGAUUUUGGUUAGUUCCAUUAAAUUAACGUAAACCCUUACUUUA